This 307-nucleotide unclassified non-coding RNA is filed under the name plant metagenome. RNAcentral's name for it is "partial contains 5.8S ribosomal RNA, internal transcribed spacer 2, and large subunit ribosomal RNA". The stretch from base 1 to 105 matches the Rfam family "5.8S ribosomal RNA", at positions 50 to 154 of the family's 154-position model. The record is from RNAcentral.
GAAAUGCGAUAAGUAGUGUGAAUUGCAGAAUUUAGCGAAUCAUCGAAUCUUUGAACGCACAUUGCGCCCCUUGGUAUUCCAUGGGGCAUGCCUGUUCGAGCGUCAUUUCAACCCUCAAGCACUGCUUGGUGUUGGGCGUUUGUCCCGCCUACGCGCGUGGACUCGCCUCAAAGUCAUUGGCAGCUGUUCCCCUUCGGCUCGUAAGCGCAGCACAGUCGGCGCCCGGAGCUCUGGUGGGAUGGCGUCCAGCAAGCUAUAUUUUCAGGCUUGACCUCGGAUCAGGUAGGGAUACCCGCUGAACCUAAGC